RNAcentral lists this ribosomal RNA (472 nucleotides) under uncultured bacterium. RNAcentral describes it as "bacterial SSU rRNA". It matches the Rfam family "Bacterial small subunit ribosomal RNA", at positions 355 to 825 of the family's 1533-position model. The record is from RNAcentral.
UGGGGAAUAUUGGACAAUGGGCGAAAGCCUGAUCCAGCCAUGCCGCGUGUGUGAAGAAGGUCUUCGGAUUGUAAAGCACUUUAAGUUGGGAGGAAGGGCCAUUACCUAAUACGUGAUGGUUUUGACGUUACCGACAGAAUAAGCACCGGCUAACUCUGUGCCAGCAGCCGCGGUAAUACAGAGGGUGCAAGCGUUAAUCGGAAUUACUGGGCGUAAAGCGCGCGUAGGUGGUUUGUCAAGUUGGAUGUGAAAUCCCCGGGCUCAACCUGGGAACUGCAUUCAAAACUGACUGACUAGAGUAUGGUAGAGGGUGGUGGAAUUUCCUGUGUAGCGGUGAAAUGCGUAGAUAUAGGAAGGAACACCAGUGGCGAAGGCGACCACCUGGACUGAUACUGACACUGAGGUGCGAAAGCGUGGGGAGCAAACAGGAUUAGAUACCCGAGUAGUCCCUGAGCGGGCUGGCAAGGCGCAU